AUUGAACGCUGGCGGCAGGCCUAACACAUGCAAGUCGAGCGGAAGAAGCGCGCUUGCUCCUGGCUUCAGUGGCGGACGGGUGAGUAAUGCCUAGGUAACUGCCUGGUAGCGGGGGAUAACGUCCGGAAACGGGCGCUAAUACCGCAUACGUCCUGAGGGAGAAAGUGGGGGAUUUUCGGACCUCCCGCUAUCAGAUGAGCCUAGGUCGGAUUAGCUAGUUGGUGGGGUAAAGGCCUACCAAGGCGACGAUCCGUAACUGGUCUGAGAGGAUGAUCAGUCACACGGGAAGGGAGACGCGGUCCAUGCGCCUGCGGGACGCAGCAGAGGGGAAUAGGGGACAGUGGGCGAGAGCAUUGUCCAACCAGGCCGAGUGUGUGGAGAAAGUCUUCGGAGUGUGAAGAACGUUAAGGUGGUGGAAAGGGCAGUAAGUUGAGACGAUGCUGUAGUGACGGUACCGAGUAAAUAAGCACCGGCUAACUACGUG
RNAcentral lists this ribosomal RNA (484 nucleotides) under uncultured bacterium. RNAcentral's name for it is "partial 16S ribosomal RNA". It matches the Rfam family "Bacterial small subunit ribosomal RNA", at positions 29 to 507 of the family's 1533-position model. The record is from RNAcentral.